UAACACGUGGGUAACCUGCCUUAUAGUGGGGGAUAGCCUUUCGAAAGGAAGAUUAAUACCGCAUAAGAUUGUAGUAUCGCAUGAUAUAGCAAUUAAAGGAGCAAUUCGCUAUAAGAUGGACCCGCGUCGCAUUAGCUAGUUGGUGAGGUAAUGGCUCACCAAGGCGACGAUGCGUAGCCGACCUGAGAGGGUGAUCGGCCACAUUGGGACUGAGACACGGCCCAGACUCCUACGGGAGGCAGCAUGU
RNAcentral lists this ribosomal RNA (247 nucleotides) under uncultured bacterium. RNAcentral describes it as "partial 16S ribosomal RNA". It matches the Rfam family "Bacterial small subunit ribosomal RNA", at positions 111 to 353 of the family's 1533-position model. The record is from RNAcentral.